UAAACUUUUCUAACAAAUUAUCAUUUUUUGCAGAAUAUUUGUGGUUUAAUUGGGCAAAACAUAACGGAGCAGGUGAACAUGCUUUGGAAGAAAUUCAUUACUUUAACGAGCAUCCGUUGAGUUGCUUCACGGAUUAUGAGCAUUAUUUCAUGUGCUUGGAGUGUGGUGAAGAAGGUCCAAAGUAUAUAUGGGUUCACAGUCGUAACCCAUAUUCCACUGGAGAAGAUAUUCUACGUGUGCACAACAAGCUUGUUACAAUCGGUGGUGGCUGGAGCUCAGUUCCCCUGUACUUAUCCGGCUGUCAUAAAUUUACCAUGCCAGAAACAAUUGCUUACUAAACUGCUGAUGUCUAAAUAGUUAUUAACUAUGUGUAUUUAUAUUUACAAAAUAACUAAAUUUUAUAUCUAAUAUAUUAUAUAUAUAUAUAUAU
This is a non-coding RNA of Styela clava, 430 nucleotides long. Lineage: Eukaryota; Metazoa; Chordata; Ascidiacea; Stolidobranchia; Styelidae. The record is from RefSeq and is a predicted model, not a curated record.